UCAAUUUCAGAUAUCGAAUCGAAUCAACUUUGUCUAUAUGUUUAUAAGAAAUAAUAUAUGUACGGAUAACUUAGGGUUGGAACAUAGUUUACACACAGAUUAAUAACUUAAAUGGUAACUAAACUAAGGCUUGAUAAUUGAUCGGUCACUAAACAAAAAAAGUAUUCAACAUUUACCCAAUCAUAGUGAGGUAACCCGGUGGUCAUUAUUGUUUUCGGGCAUCCAAUUUCCAUCCAAUUUCCUAGGCAGAGCCAACAUGCCACCUGCCACAUCAAUAAAUUUGCCACAUUAGCCCAAAACCAACCCACCCCCAACCCAAGUUGAGUAGCAACUUAAUCCAUUCGAAAAUGGAAUAUUGAUCAAACCAUUCCCUAGGUAAAAACGAGUGCACUAAUUCACAAUCCAAAACAUUUACAUAAUGAAGCAACGUUGUUUUUAGUUUGUUGUAUGCUUACUUAUUUUCUUAAUUUCUUUCAUUAAAACUUAUUUAUGACAAAAUAACCUUAAACUUCGCCCUUUUUUGUUGCAUUUUCGUAAUCUUCUUCCACAAUCAAAGUAAAUUAUAUGUCAGCAAUCGAAAAGGAAAGUUUUUGAUUUGUUGAAGGGGCUGUUAGAAAGAGAAAUUGUGUCUUGAUCAAAGAUAAUAAUGUCAAUCGAAAAUUAAAACACAAAUGAUAGUGAAGAUAUGAAAGAAAAAUACAAAAUAAACUCAUUUUGGACGGACUCUCAAUUUAAUCAAGCAUUUCAAUCUUUAAUCGCAACCAUUCAAAUUCUUAGUUUUGAUCUGAGGGUAAAAAAAUGUGAUGACAAUUUAGGUACAAAAUUAUAUUUAUUUUCUAGAACUGUCUUCUUAACUCUUAUUCAACAUAAGAGCUUCAGGAAGGAUGUCUACCACUAAUCUCCUCAUUCGACUUCCUUCUCCGCCUUCUUUCGUCGCCAGUCAACCUCCAUUUGCUGCUUUCCUCUUUCAUUGUCAGUCCCCUCGUUUGUGAUCUCCCCCCCUCUCCCGCCGUUUUUGCCCUCUUCCUUCUUUCUCCUCUCUAGAUGUUCUGCAAUUAAAAGUGGUAGUGUAGAUCUAUUAUAGUUUGUGCUUCUAUAAUAAGAACUAAACUUAGAUAAGUGUAGAUAAGUCUAUCUCUGAAUCCAAAUCCGCUCCUAGUUAGCCAUAGAGAGCUCCAAUAUGUUCACACUCUCUCUUCUUGGGUUUUAAUCAGUUUUUUCGAGCUCUACUUUAGUAUAGCCUCCAAAUCUAAUGACUUUGAUGACCUCUAACUGAUUUUGGCGUUGGAGAUAAAUGAAUGCAAUAAAUUUGAAGGUAGAUCUGAGAGACCGACGUGACAACGAUGAUGGCGGCGGCUGAGAUAUAUUAAGAGAAAGCUGAUUAGGGUUGGGAUGAACAUUUUUUUAGAUAAAAGAGAAACAUAUGAUUAACUUUUUACUAAGUUGUGUAACAUGUUACUAAGUUGUGACUGGUGACUAAUUAUUAUAACAUGUUAUAACAAAUAACCUAUUACUAAUUGAUGAGGUUCAGUUUACCACAUUCAUCGCCCUUAUAUAAGUGAUAUUCAUGCAUAGGUUUUGUUCAAGUGUUGGAAGCACGCCUCAGAGUUGAUGAAUGAGAGCGUAAACAAUGUCCUUAAACACUUUGAGUGAGUGUUUUUGGUUUCAUCUUUAAGCCGUUUUUUCUUUCAGAGUAAGUCUAGAUGGGUGGUAUAACAUGCUUGAUGAUGUGUGGCAAGUUGGGAAACUUCUUGUGAGGUAUUUACUUCCUAUGUUGGUUUUCAUUAGAGGUUCACUUGCAUGUUAAGCAAUUUAGGGGUGCUUUGAGGAUUAUGGGGUUGAUUUGGCAUGUUAGUAGUUUGACUCACUUGAAAGUGUUAUCCAUAGCUUUUAUCACCUUUCUUCUUGAGGACAAGCGAAGUUUAAGUGUGGGGUUAUUUGAUGACGUUCAAUUUACCGCAUUCAUCGCCCUCAUUUUAGCGACAUUUCAUGCAUAAUUGUGUAGUUUUGGGUUGACGUUGAGGGUGUUUCUUACAUUUUGAGCUUCUACAUCGUUUUAGUGUCUCGAACCCGUUUGGGGUCCAUUUGAUGUUGUUGUCGGGUUUAUUUAUAGAUUUUAGGUUCACGGCAACAUCGAGGCAUUAAACAAGGAAAAACGACAAGCAUGGGUGAGCUAAGAUCCACCGAAUGGAUGUGAAGAUCAGAAUUGGGGGAGAAGGGUGUAACAUGUGCCAAACAUGUGCUAAUGUGUGGUGCACAUUAGAACAUGCCUUCAACGCAUAUUUCAACAUCGAAGGCCUUUUCUUCUGACCACCAUACAUGCGAAUAGGCACUGAAGAAUGUCAAAAUGUGUGGCACACAUUUCAAUAUGCCUUCAGCGCAUAUUAGCACAUCCAACAACAAUUUGGUUUUCUUUUUAUUUAAAGAUCGAGGAUCCUCCAUUCAAAAGACCGACUUUUUGGACGCAUUACGGAGAUUUUAAAGCAAGAAGAAGGCAAUACUUCAAGGAGCUCGGACUGGACAACAUAAUCGAGAUUGGUGUUUUGAGCAACUGAGUCAUGAUGAAUAACAUUAGGAGCAAUUAUAAUCAUAACCGCAUGGGUAUGGGGAUGGAACUAAUUUUGUCACCAAAAACUCAUUUAGCAUCGGGAAACUCGGCUAUUGACAUAAAUAGUCCCUUAUGUUUAUCAUUUUUUAAAUGUCCUCGAGGCCCUAAUUUAUCAAUUUGGUUCGACUUUACUGUUCCGUCCGUGUCUGUCUAAUCUUUCCGUCCCCUAUGCCACACAGCAAGCAUACCAUGAAGGCAGACAUCCUAGUCAUCACUCAGCAACUCAGAGUAGUGAUUCUCUUAACAGAAAAUCAAGUUGUAACCCGAUUCAACCCGAAAUUCCAACGUCCCCCACACUUCAUCAUCUUCCUCCAGAUCCACCAUCGAUCAACCCACCUCCUCCACCAUCGAUCACAACUCAUUCCAAAACUCUGUCGCUCUCUGUCCCUACUCUCCACUACUUCCUCCCUCUCGUCGGCAGCAUCACUUGGCCUACUUUCGACGUCGACAAUGCCAUCCUCCCGAUCAUCCUCUACACCCCCAGAGAUGUCGUCUUCCUCACCGUCGCCGACUCAACAGACGAGGUUGACCACAUCGCCAGCGACAAAGUUCGCCAAGCUUCUGAUUCCCUCGCUUACAUCCUGGAGUUUCUCGUCACCAAUUCAGCUACCACGAUUCUAUCUAUGUAGAUCACUCUGUUCAAGUCUUCCUGCUCUGUAAUGGUAGAAGCAACAGUAGAAGACAACCUCUUCCAGUCUUCCUCCUCUAUACAGUAUUGAUCUAUUUUAGCAAUGGUGUCGACGUCGAAUCCCCUCUCCCUGGAAACCGAAAAGCUCAUGAAAAUCCCUCCACAUCAGUACCACUUCCAAGAAGAACAUAGUACAAACAAAAAAAAUCCCCAAACAACAACAUUACAAAUCUCACCAAAUCCAUCCUAAUGGCUACAAAUGCUCUCAUCAAAUCUAAACCCGAAAUUCAUCCUGGGAUCUUCAUCCUCUACGGCCUGAACCAAGGAUUCUUUGGCUCCUUCUUCAGAGUCGUCACAGACUACUACUAGAAAGACGUCCAGAAGCUCCAACUUCCACGCUCCAGAUCUACACGGGGUUCUACUACAUCCUCUGCAUUCUAAAGCCCCUUUGGGGCCUCUUCACCGACGUCUUCCUCGUCGGGGGUUAUAACCGGAGGUCGUACUUCGUUUCGGCUCGAGGGUCUUGGGCUCUGUUUCGGCUUUGACCGUGGGUUUGACCAGGGCGGGGAUGCUGGUGGCGGCUAUGAUGAGUUGCUUGGUUGGUGUGAUGGUCGGGAUGGCGAUUGUGGAUGUGACGGUUGAUGCUUGUGUGGUGAGGAAUAAUAUAGUGAGGGAAGAUCAGAGUGCUCAUAUGCAAAGUCAAAUUCAAAUUAUUUGACUGGGUAUUUCGAUUAUGUUUCGGUUAUUUCAGUUAGUUUUCACUCUUUCUAUUAAAUUUAUAUUGAAAUAAUUUUUUUCCAUCUCCUACUUCUCAAGCCGUUGGCAUUUACUUUAUUGAUAGGGCUUUUUUUUCUUAAUUCAAUUUCAUCUUCUAUCUUAUUCUUUGGUUUACUUUACUCUUAUGUUGUUAUUGUUAGAGUUCCUAUAACGAAUCUCGAAAAGCUUUUCGAUAGCGGUGAUUUUUCUCAUGUAUCCAACUCGCAGUCAUCAUUUUAUUUUGAUUUGAAUUACUUUUCUAAUGUCGAGAUCGACCGUCCAAGUUAUAUUUCUAACGAAAUUCCUAUUCAUAAUAUGAGCAAGAGCAUUACUAGUUCGGAAAGGAAGUUGUUGACCUAGUUCUUUUGUUUGGGAAUUCUCGUAAUUCUAAUUAGCAACAUACAUUGAACUAGUUUUUCAAACAAAAAACUCAAGUCAAACCACAUACUACAAGCAUUACAAACUAGUUCAGGCAUUUCAACCAAAUAAGUAAUAACCAAUACAAAUAGAACUAGUUCAAAAUUUCAGUGACACAUGCUAAAUCAGAACUGGGAACAUAACCACACUAGCAGAACUAGUCCAACAACAUCAUAAUAAUGUAUCCCUAACUAGAAGAAACUGCAUUCGCAAUAUGAACGAAUAAACAAGAGCAUAACUAGUUCAUCCAAAAAAUCUGCAAAUCAAAAUCUAUAACUAGCUCAUCCAAACAAUCUGCAAAUAAAAAAACAGAACUAGUUCAUCCAACUAAUCUAUAAAUAAAAAACGAGUACUAGUUAAUCCAACCGGGCUAUCGACAUUAAUAGUCCUCUAAGUUUAGCAUUUUUUAAAUGUCCCAAAAUCGUGUUUUUAGUCAUUUUGGUAUGAGUUGAAAUUUUCCCAACCCGUCGUUCGCGUUUUCCAUCAUAUUUCGUCUUCUUCACCAUGGAGAGAGGAAAAAGACACCACUAAACCCACCAGGUUGUUCACCAAUACUAAUAACCCGACUAUGUACCUUGUUAAUUUCAUUGGAAUCACCAUUAGAGACUUGGUAAUUUCAUCUUCGUCUUCGUCGUCGGCUGGGGGGGGGGGGGGCCCNNNAUCGUCGUCUUCGUCGUCGGCUGUGCCGGCGAUCGACUCGGGGACUGAAAUUAGCCGGUUCUCGCCGGAGGUGUAUGAAGGAGUGAAAGUAUAGUUCAAGAAAUGGAUAUCAAAUUACAAUGAUAUGGGAAAUCAAAUCUUUUGAACAGAGUUGAAGCUCUACAUAUGCUGGGAAAUUAGAGUGAAAUGGAGAGGGAGGAAAGACAUAGAGAGAGAAGGUGGAGGGAAGAUAUAUUUUUUUCUUUUUAAUUUUGAGGUUGUUGAGUGAUGACUGGGAUUAAAAAUAAGUGACGUGUAUGUGUGGCUGUGCCGCGUGGCAAAGAGGACAGAAUAGAACGGAAAACGCUGAUGGGGAGUUGGGAAAAUUUCGACUCAGACCAAAAUGACUAAAAACACGACCUUGAGACAUUUGAAGAAAACGCUAAACUUAGAGGACUAUUAAUGUCGAUAGCCCUAAUCCAACCAAUCUGAAAAUAAAAAAAUCGAACUAGUUCAUCCAACCAAUCUACAAAUAAAAAACAAGUACUGGUUCAUCCAACCAAUCUGCAAAUCAUUCGGUAAAAUUGAACCCCAUGAUCCAUCUUUCGUCGAGGAUUUGCCCAGAUUGGACGACAUCGCCAAUUUAUACAACAAAUGGGAAGACAUACUGCCCCAAGAGACGGAGAAGAAGGAAGGACGGACGUGGUCAGUACAUCACCUGGAUCAGAUUUAGGGGUUUUCUCCCUAUAGUUUGAUGAAUGCUAAUUGGAUUCUCUCAUUACUCUGCCAUCUGCAAACACGAGCGUUUGCCUCUGAUUUUCACAUGGAGGAAAGCUGCUUGGAAUUGCUAUGUGAAUUCGUCGGAUGCUGACUUGGUCGUAGUUCAUCCAAACAAUCUAUAAAUAAAAAGCCAGAGCUAGUUCAUCCAAACAAUAUGCAAAUCAAGAAGCAUGGUUAUAGUAUGAUUAGGUCGGAUUAACGACAGGUUCAAAUCUCCGCCGAGUUAGUUCCAUCAAACCUUCCUGGAACAACAAAUCAAAUGGCGGGUUUCGAAUUUCCUUCCAGCGAUGCCGAAAUUUGAAUCUUCCCAACAAAUCUUUUUUGUGACUGCAUUUUUAGAUCGAAAUCUAGGGUUGUCGAAACACCCAAACUUGUUUGAUUAGGUCGGAGAAAAAAAAAGAGUAAUGAGAAAUCAAACCUGCAAUGACCUAGUGACGGCCAAAAUAAGAUGAAGAAAAGCCGCCGACGAAGGUUUUUGAUGGAGGCUGCGGUCUUUUUUUAUGGGGACGAGGUACAAGAUUUUGGGGGAAAACGGGGGAUAGAGAGAGGUGGGAUGGUAGGGUUUUCACAACAAUUAAAUACUAAAAUUCCAAGCCAUUAGAUG
Molecule: long non-coding RNA, 6432 nt
Filed under: Linum usitatissimum (flax)
Lineage: Eukaryota; Viridiplantae; Streptophyta; Magnoliopsida; Malpighiales; Linaceae
Description: long non-coding RNA (LUSI_LNC006726)
Source: RNAcentral